Molecule: ribosomal RNA, 864 nt
Filed under: Lepiota clypeolaria
Lineage: Eukaryota; Fungi; Basidiomycota; Agaricomycetes; Agaricales; Agaricaceae
Description: partial large subunit ribosomal RNA
Rfam family: Eukaryotic large subunit ribosomal RNA
Source: RNAcentral
CCCUAGUAACUGCGAGUGAAGCGGGAAAAGCUCAAAUUUGAAAUCUGGCAGUCUUUGGCUGUCCGAGUUGUAAUCUAGAGAAGUGUUACCCGUGCUGGACCGUGUACAAGUCUCCUGGAAUGGAGCGUCAUAGAGGGUGAGAAUCCCGUCUCUGACACGGACUACCAGGGCUUUGUGGUAUGCUCUCAAAGAGUCGAGUUGUUUGGGAAUGCAGCUCAAAAUGGGUGGUAAAUUCCAUCUAAAGCUAAAUAUUGGCGAGAGACCGAUAGCGAACAAGUACCGUGAGGGAAAGAUGAAAAGAACUUUGGAAAGAGAGUUAAACAGUACGUGAAAUUGCUGAAAGGGAAACGCUUGAAGUCAGUCACAUUGACUAGGGAUCAGCCUUGCAUUGCAUGGUGUACUUUCUGGUCGAUGGGUCAGCAUCAAUUUUGACUGCUGGAAAAAGGCUUGGGGAAUGUGACAGCUCUGGCUGUGUUAUAGACCCUUGUCAUAUACAGCGGUUGGGAUUGAGGAACUCAGCACGCCGCAAGGCCGGGUUUCGACCACGUUCGUGCUUAGGAUGCUGGCAUAAUGGCUUUAAGCGACCCGUCUUGAAACACGGACCAAGGAGUCUAACAUGCCUGCGAGUGUUUGGGUGGAAAACCCAAGCGCGUAAUGAAAGUGAAAGUUGAGAUCCCUGUCGUGGGGAGCAUCGACGCCCGGACCAGAACUUUUGGGACGGAUCUGCGGUAGAGCAUGUAUGUUGGGACCCGAAAGAUGGUGAACUAUGCCUGAAUAGGGUGAAGCCAGAGGAAACUCUGGUGGAGGCUCGUAGCGAUUCUGACGUGCAAAUCGAUCGUCAAAUUUGGGUAUAGGGGCGAAAGA